AGGUAAAUCAGGGCACUCGAGUUAAGCUUCUGCUCAGCAUUUCUGUUUAGAGCCUGAAGACCCCUACCUCUCCCUCUACUGACUGUAACAGAACUGCAGGCCCGAAGAAUUUCAAAAAGUGAGGCACUGAAUGUAGUGUGCCAAACUGAGUACUUAACUGGAUGUCCAAUUUUAGCCUGCAAGUAAGCAUCUGAUUCUUCAUAUAGUCAGGUACCCCACCUAUACCUGGAGCCUGCCAAACCACUAGUAAUAUCAGUCAUCAGUUUCACUGCUUCUUGCUGGUCCAGGAACCACAAAAACCAACCCAGUCAGACUUAGUGAUCCCAGCCAACACCAGAAUUCGUGGAAGGUUCUCAGAGUGGAUCGGCACCCAACUCCAUACAGCAAGAGCCCGUCAUCACGGGCUGUCUUUGCACAAGUUCUCUACAGUCAUCUGCAAAUGAGUAUGAAAACUUUCCAGGGAUUUUAAUUUAGUAGCUAAGUUUCUUACUCAGAGCCAAAAAGCACCUCUGCCUGGCAAGAUAAUAAUGCAUUAGCCUUUGAAAUGCUUUUCACUUCUUAUACACUUUGGCAAAGAAGGGGCAGGAAAAGGUAUUUUUCUGAUGUUUCUAGAAACAGUGAGGUGUUUCUGAAAGCACCUAGGACUUCUGCUUUCAAAAGUUAGGGUGUGGGGCAACUCCUGUUCACCGAACCUGUGAUAAAUCUGUAUCUCUUCUUCUUUGGAUUAAGUUUUACUACAAUGCGUCGUGCAGUCAGAAGUCACAAAGAGUCAUGUCAUCUCAGAGACUCAGACGUAGCACGCAGAUAUUACAGCACUGGAAGCAAACCCUAAGAGCAAACAUCUUCAAUAUAAAUCUCACUGGGCUUUGGAGCAGGCAAUUGGGUUUUGCACACCAACCACAUUAUAGCAGAUUAAUUCACUUUUUUCUUUAGAAUGGAAGGUGCGGUUAAUAGAAUUGAAAUCAAACACUGCUAUAAAUCUCGAUAGGACUGAAUGACUGCAUCUGUGGCAGAAGACUACAAUUACAGCAUGGGAUAUGUAGUUAGGUAAACUUGUUUUUUCCCCGGCUUCAUUCUGGGAUCCCUCUUGGCUUUUAGUUUCUUCUUUACAGGCAGCUUGUAAACAUUUCAGCAGAGAUUAUGUUGCUGCAAAUCACUUGCAAAUUAAGCCUAACUUGUCUAAGUUAAAUGCACUUUCCCAUACUGUUUUAGAUUUAGGACAAUUAAUUGCAGUAAUGAUAUAAUCAAGGGCAUUAUAUGCAGAAUGGGAACACUAGAGCAAGAAAAAGCACACUUGUGGAAAUACUGGAGGAAACUGUUGCCUGGAGUAAGUGGUCAGAGCUCUCCUGGACUGAGAUCCAUCCUUAACAGUGUACUGGUAUUUCCCUAAACCUUUAUUAAAUCAACGCAUUUUCAAAUUAUGGAAGGAAUUAAAUGUUCAAAUGUCAUCUUUGUAGCCACUAGAUUGCAACUGACUCUCCUCUGAAAAAAGUGUAUUGUAUCCCUCUGAAAGUUUCUCCUUUGUUCAGAACACUUGUAAUUCUAUUGUUGUUAAAGCUAUUUAGUCACUUUUGCAAAAUCAACCUGGAACAAUGAAUGAGUUCUGUAAAUAGAAAGACGAUUUAGUGGGAACUGAUCUGUAGAGAAUGCUUUUAUAAGAACUAUUAUUUGUCUCCUGCCUUUUGUCUUCUGCUAAAAAAAAAGUACUUAUUUAGCAUUUAUUUCAGAAGCUGAAUUGAAAUAAGAUAACAAAAACAACCAGUACUGUCCAGUAUGUUUCUGUUUGCUUGUCUCAUAAUUACAGCAUCAUUAUCUGGAUUUUAGUAAAUGUCUGCCCUGUGCUGAAAGUAUCUUAAAUUCACAGACAACACAUAAAACUAAUAACUAUAUAGGGAAACUUGCAUUAUCUAAGGUAUUCUAUACCUUGUGUUUUAAAUAUCAGCUUAAAGGGAGCAAGUAGAAUACUGCCCUAAGUGUUUGCCUCUUCAGAUGUCAAUAUGGUUGCUGAUGAAUCUUUUGUUGACAUCUUCCCUAAAAGCUGUUGCUACACUGCCAAGUCACACAGAAACAAGCACGCAUGUGGUCCUUACACAAGAUCCAAAGAAAAGUCUCUUUUUUUCUUUGCUGCAGGGUAUCUUCUGCUAAAUCAGUAUGGUUGUUGCUCUGGGUUGAUGGUGUUGAGAAACCCUCAAAAAUUAUUCCCAAGGCUUCACCUUUCCCCUUUGUUCUUUCUACUUCUGAAUUCAACCAAGCAAGUCAUGCCUCUGUCUGUACAGAGAACUUAUGAUUGAAAAGCAUGUGAGGCUGGAAUUUGGCACAUUAGACUUCCAUCCACUUGCAUGUGGACUACAGCAAUGAACUGCCUUUAAUACAAGGCAGUCUUGGGACUUUCAAGGGACUACAACGCAAACCCAAUUGCUUGUUGAACCCGUUGAAACUGUGGUACUAGUUUAACUGGGUAGUAUGUAAGGCUGUGUGUAUUCUUAUCACUGCUAUUAGCAGGGGUCAUUGUGGCCAGGUAAAGAAAUACUUACUCCUCCUUCAGGAACCCCUUUAAAAGGUUUCUCUUUGGAGGCUGCCAAUUGCAUACUCAGUCUUCCACUCCACAUGCAUCUAAAUGCUUCACUGACUUGUGCCAAGAGACGUAAACUGUUUUAAUGUGUUCCUGAUGAUUUCAAUGGAAGGUCUAAAUGUGUAAAGAACACAAGAUCCUGCCCACUGGGAGCUAAAGGGAUAAAAUCUCACACUAGCCACUCCAGGGAAUCAGAAAGAAUCAGUAAGAAUAAGCUCUUGAAAUUAGAAAGAAAUCAAGGCGGAAAAACUGUGGUUAAACUGAAAGCCAUCUACCAGAGCAGACCUUCCUAUCAUUUCCCCAUACAGCGAAGCAUUCUGGUUCCCCGUACACUGUAAUAGCAGAGCUGAGCAGUGCUUCCUAGUUUGUCUCAUCAGAUUGCUGUGCUUUUGGCUUCCGAUCUGAUUGUUAAUUAUUCUUUUUUAUUACAUGUUUUUAUAUUAGACACUUAACUCUUCUUUGUAAUUAGAUGUAGUGAUUAUAGUAUCUUUUUAUAUUACACUUGAGUGUUCCUUUAAUGCAGACAUCAAAUAAAACAAAACACAUAAAGCACCAAAAAAGGGAUUGCAACAGUAGCGUUUGUGUCCGAAGGAGUGAAGAAGUGGGAAAAAGUGAGUUGCAGUUAUUGCUUCUGGCUCCAGCAACCCAAUUUGUUUCUUUAUUCUUCUCCAAAUUAUGUUCAUUCAUUUAUUAUAAUUCACUGAAUGUAUUAUGUAUAAAAUCAAUCCAGAUUUUUAAAGACAGGCAUUAUGUGUUUUGUCUAAAUGCAACUCUUUUGUGUUGUUGUUGUUCAAUUGCUGGGAAACAUUUUUCUUCUUCUUAGUGUAAAUGUUUUCUUGAGGAAAGGGUUAUGUGGGAUGGGGAGAGAAUACUCAGAAAGGAAGAAGAUGAAAUAGAGUAUCUAAUAGCACAGUGAAGAUUCGUGCUGUUCCUCCACGGUGAUGUCCAUAUAGUGAUCAGCAGUCUAACAUCCUCCCUUUAUCUAAGGAGCAGCUAUUGUAUUUCAGGAGUACUGUUCCACAUAGCCCCAUGUGAAAAUUCCUGUUUCAGAACAGAAUUACCUUCCCCAUGAUAAGAAUCUU
Molecule: long non-coding RNA, 3654 nt
Organism: Dromaius novaehollandiae (emu)
Lineage: Eukaryota; Metazoa; Chordata; Aves; Casuariiformes; Dromaiidae
Exons: 3
Source: RefSeq, a predicted model, not a curated record